CCUUGGCUCGUUUUUCGAUGUUGAAUCUGCCUAUGGCUAAAUCGGAGCCAAACCACCGGCCAAUCGGCCAGAAAACCCCGCCGAAGUCCGGCAGUGCUGCCGCGACUUCCCUCUAUUCUUGCCUCUGAUGAAGCCCUUCCCGGUCUCUGUUCGAUGCAAAUUUUAUACCACUGUGAUCAUCGUUCUUUUCUCUACAGGUUGAUCAGAGCCAAACAUCAAAACGCGACUCAUGUCGGAGGAGCCGCCGCACCCG
This 253-nucleotide long non-coding RNA is filed under the name Carica papaya (papaya). Its description in RNAcentral is "long non-coding RNA (CPAP_LNC005768)". Lineage: Eukaryota; Viridiplantae; Streptophyta; Magnoliopsida; Brassicales; Caricaceae. The record is from RNAcentral.